AGUGAACGCUGGCGGCGUGCUUAACACAUGCAAGUCGAACGAGAACGGAUUAUAGCUUGCUAUAAUUGUCAGCUAAGUGGCGCACGGGCGAGUAAUGUAUAGGUAAUAUGCCUCUUACUAAGGGAUAACAAAUGGAAACGUUUGCUAAUACCUUAUACUCCUUAUUAACAGAAGUUAAUAAGGGAAAGAUUUAUUGGUAAGAGAUUAGCCUGUAUUGUAUCAGUUAGUUGGUGGGGUAAUGGCUUACCAAGACUAUGACACAUAACUGGUUUGAGAGGAUGAUCAGUCACACUGGAACUGAGACACGGUCCAGACUCCUACGGGAGGCAGCAGUGGGGAAUAUUGCACAAUGGACGAAAGUCUGAUGCAGCAACGCCGCGUGGAGGAUGACACAUUUCGGUGCGUAAACUCCUUUUAUAUGAGAGGAUAAUGACGGUAUUAUAUGAAUAAGCACCGGCUAACUCCGUGCCAGCCGCCGCUGUAA
Molecule: ribosomal RNA, 484 nt
Filed under: uncultured bacterium
Lineage: Bacteria
Description: partial 16S ribosomal RNA
Rfam family: Bacterial small subunit ribosomal RNA
Source: RNAcentral